This 237-nucleotide ribosomal RNA is filed under the name uncultured bacterium. Its description in RNAcentral is "partial 16S ribosomal RNA". It matches the Rfam family "Bacterial small subunit ribosomal RNA", at positions 16 to 244 of the family's 1533-position model. The record is from RNAcentral.
GUCCUAGCUCAGGAUGAACGCUAGCUACAGGCUUAACACAUGCAAGUCGCGGGGCAGCAUGAAGGAUGCUUGCAUCCUUUGAUGGCGACCGGCGCACGGGUGAGUAACGCGUAUCCAACCUGCCUGUUACCACGGCACAGCCCGUCGAAAGGCGGAUUAAUGCCGUAUGUGGUCCUUUGCGGGCAUCUAAUUAGGACUAAAGGUUCGGCGGUAACGGAUGGGGAUGCGUCCGAUUAG